CUUGAAGACGACGAGGUAGAUAGGGCAGAGGUGGAAGGGCAGUAAUGUCCGGAGCUGACUGUUACUAAUCGGUCGAGGGCUUGACCAAAA
This 90-nucleotide ribosomal RNA is filed under the name Pseudocoprococcus catus. Its description in RNAcentral is "partial 23S ribosomal RNA". It matches the Rfam family "Bacterial large subunit ribosomal RNA", at positions 2837 to 2925 of the family's 2925-position model. Lineage: Bacteria; Bacillati; Bacillota; Clostridia; Lachnospirales; Lachnospiraceae. The record is from RNAcentral.